This 329-nucleotide ribosomal RNA is filed under the name uncultured Glomus. RNAcentral describes it as "eukaryotic LSU rRNA". The record is from RNAcentral. Lineage: Eukaryota; Fungi; Glomeromycota; Glomeromycetes; Glomerales; Glomeraceae.
CAGUCGUACCGGUGGGUAAUCAGCCUUUCGGCGUGAUUAUGUGGAGCGUGAGGAGUUAAACGCCCUCAUGCCUGCAUAUUCGUGUUCUUUGGGUGUACUUACCCGCAUGGUAGGUUAACAUCAAUUUCGAACGUCAUAAAAUGGUUGGAGGAAUGUAGCUUCGAUCUCGUAUUGAAGUGUUAUAGCCUCCGGCAGAUGUGAUGAUCGGGAUUGAGGAUUGCAACGGAUACCCUUCGGGGCUACCCGUCUGAUCUCUGAAAGUUACUCUGGUGCCGAAAGCUCGCUUACGGUCAUCAAAGUUGACGUUCAACAGGUUAGAACGGGAUAAA